This 71-nucleotide transfer RNA is filed under the name Patescibacteria group bacterium. Its description in RNAcentral is "tRNA-Ala". It matches the Rfam family "tRNA". Rfam says of the family: Transfer RNA (tRNA) molecules are approximately 80 nucleotides in length. The record is from RNAcentral.
GGGCCUAUAGUAUAUCGGUAAUACGCAUCCAUGGCAUGGAUGAGUGUCGGGUUCGACUCCCGAUAGGUCCA